RNAcentral lists this ribosomal RNA (1479 nucleotides) under Triticum aestivum (bread wheat). RNAcentral's name for it is "partial small subunit ribosomal RNA". Lineage: Eukaryota; Viridiplantae; Streptophyta; Magnoliopsida; Poales; Poaceae. The record is from RNAcentral.
AUGACGUCCACGGUGACCACGCCCACGCCCAGCCGCCCGCUCCCGGCGGGGCCCCAGCGGCGCCGGUACAGGCCCACGGUGCUCGCCAUCGCCGGCGGUAGCAAGCCGCCGCGCCGCCGGGCGCCCGCCGCCGCCACCAGCUGCGCGGCGCUCGCGGCGCCCGAGAAGCAGAGCACGGCGCCCUCCAAGCUCCCUGCUCCGUCGCCGGCGCCCGAGGGCACGGACUACGACGAGGUGGCCGCCACGCUGGAGACGCUGUACAAGCUGAGCCCCGUCAUCGUGGAGGAGGACGGGAAGAGGAGCAAGAAGCAGGCGGCGACCAAGAAGAAGAGGAAGCAGGGGAGGGCGAAAUCGGGAGCAGCGACGACGACGGCGGCGACGCCGAGGAGGACAGUGGUGGUGAGGAGCCAGCGGCGGCGCCGGAUGGACCUGGGGAAGCGGGUGGAGAUGCGGGAUCUGGCCGCCGGCAAGGAGGACGAACACCGGGACGGGGAGCGCGCGUUCGAGGAGGCGCUGCUGCGGGAGCACGCCGUGUCGACGGACAUGGGCAGCCUGGACUGGAGGUGGAUGAAGAUCCCGCCGGUGCUCUCCGCCCCGCAGAGCGCCCGCCUCUUCAAGAUCAUGCAGCCCAUGAAGGCCAUUUUGGAGGUGCAAGAGAACCUGCGGAACGAGCUGCAGAGCGAGCCGACGGACGUGGAGGUCGCCGAGGCCAUGAACAUGCCGGUGCAGCGGCUACGGCGGCUCCGCGACGUGGGCCGGGCGGCGAGGAACAAGCUCAUCAAGCACAACCUACGGCUGGUCCUGUACGCGAUCAACAAGUACUACCCGGACAUGACCGGCGACGAGAGGUUCGCGGACCUGUGCCAGGCCGGCGCCAACGGGCUCAUCACGGCCAUCGACCGCUUCGAGCCCAAGCGCGGCUUCCGCAUCUCCACCUACGCGCUCUUCUGGAUCCGCCACUCCGUCGUCCGCGCCAUGACGCUCUCCAGCUUCACCCGCUUUCCGUUCGCCAUGGAAUCGGAGAGGCAGGAGAUCAACAGGGCGAGGGAGGAGCUGUCGUUCGAGCUCGGGAGGGCGCCGACGGACGAGGAGACGAUGAAGAAAGUGGGGCUGUCGCCGGCGAGGUACCGCGACGUGGUGCGGAUGACGAGGCCCACCUACUCGCUGCACUCGCGGAACCGUGUCACGCAGGAGGAGCUCAUCAAGGAGGUCACCGACGUGGACGCCAUCGGGGUCGACACCCACAAGCACAACCGCCUCCUCCGCCUCGCCAUUGACGACCUCCUGGAUUCGCUGAAGCCCAAGGAGAGCGUGGUGAUCAGGCAGAGGUUCGGGCUAGACGGCAGGGGGAGGCGCACGCUGAGCGAGAUCGCCGGCAACCUGAGGAUCUCGAGGGAGAUGGUGCGCAAGUACGAGCUCAAGGCGCUGAUGAAGCUCAAGCACCCCACCCGGGUCGACUACCUGCGAAGAUACAUGUGA